AGUGAACGCUGGCGGCGUGCUUAACACAUGCAAGUCGAACGAGAACGGGUUAUAGCUUGCUAUAAUUGUCAGCUAAGUGGCGCACGGGUGAGUAAUGUAUAGGUAAUAUGCCUCUUACUAAGGGAUAACAAAUGGAAACGUUUGCUAAUACCUUAUACUCCUUAUUAACAGAAGUUAAUAAGGUAAAGAUUUAUUGGUAAGAGAUUAGCCUGUAUUGUAUCAGUUAGUUGGUGGGGUAAUGGCUUACCAAGACUAUGACACAUAACUGGUUUGAGAGGCUGAACAGUCACACUGGAACGCAGACACGGUCCGGACGCCUACGGGAUGCAGCAGUGGGGAAUAUUGCAAAAUGUACGAAAGUCGGAUGCAGCAACGUCGCGUGGAGGAUGACACAUUUAGGUGCGUAAACUCCUUUUACAUGAGAAGUUAAUGACGGUAUUAUAUGAAUAAGCACCGGCUAACUCCGUGCCAUCCACCGCCGUAA
Molecule: ribosomal RNA, 484 nt
Filed under: uncultured bacterium
Lineage: Bacteria
Description: partial 16S ribosomal RNA
Rfam family: Bacterial small subunit ribosomal RNA
Source: RNAcentral